AGUCGAGGGGCAGCAUUUCAGUUUGCUUGCAAACUGGAGAUGGCGACCGGCNCACGGGUGAGUAACACGUAUCCAACCUGCCGAUAACUCGGGGAUAGCCUUUCGAAAGAAAGAUUAAUACCCGAUGGCAUAAUAAAACCGCAUGGUUUUUUUAUUAAAGAAUUUCGGUUAUCGAUGGGGAUGCGUUCCAUUAGGCAGUUGGUGAGGUAACGGCUCACCAAACCUUCGAUGGAUAGGGGUUCUGAGAGGAAGGUCCCCCACAUUGGAACUGAGACACGGUCCAAACUCANACGGGAGGCAGCAGUGAGGAAUAUUGGUCAAUGGGCGCAGGCCUGAACCAGCCAAGUAGCGUGAAGGAUGACUGCCCUAUGGGUUGUAAACUUCUUUUAUUAUGGGAAUAAAGUUUUCCACGUGUGGAAUUUUGUAUGUACCAUAUGAAUAAGGAUCGGCUAACUCCGUGCCAGCAGCCGCGGUAAUACGGAGGAUCCGAGCGUUAUCCGGAUUUAUUGGGUUUAAAGGGAGCGUAGGUGGACAGUUAAGUCAGUUGUGAAAGUUUGCGGCUCAACCGUAAAAUUGCAGUUGAUACUGGCUGUCUUGAGUACAGUAGAGGUGGGCGGAAUUCGUGGUGUAGCGGUGAAAUGCUUAGAUAUCACGAAGAACUCCGAUUGCGAAGGCAGCUCACUGGACUGCAACUGACACUGAUGCUCGAAAGUGUGGGUAUCAAACAGGAUUAGAUACCCUGGUAGUCCACACAGUAAACGAUGAAUACUCGCUGUUUGCGAUAUACAGUAAGCGGCCAAGCGAAAGCAUUAAGUAUUCCACCUGGGGAGUACGCCGGCAACGGUGAAACUCAAAGGAAUUGACGGGGGCCCGCACAAGCGGAGGAACAUGUGGUUUAAUUCGAUGAUACGCGAGGAACCUUACCCGGGCUUAAAUUGCAUUUGAAUAUAUUGGAAACAGUAUAGCCGUAAGGCAAAUGUGAAGGUGCUGCAUGGUUGNUCGUCAGCUCGUGCCGUGAGGUGUCGGCUUAAGUGCCAUAACGAGCGCAACCCUUAUCUUUAGUUACUAACAGGUCAUGCUGAGGACUCUAGAGAGACUGCCGUCGUAAGAUGUGAGGAAGGUGGGGAUGACGUCAAAUCAGCACGGCCCUUACGUCCGGGGCUACACACGUGUUACAAUGGGGGGUACAGAAGGCAGCUACCUGGUGACAGGAUGCUAAUCCCAAAAGCCUCUCUCAGUUCGGAUCGAAGUCUGCAACCCGACUUCGUGAAGCUGGAUUCGCUAGUAAUCGCGCAUCAGCCAUGGCGCGGUGAAUACGUUCCCGGGCCUUGUACANANNGCCCGUCAAGCCAUGAAAGCCGGGGGUACCUGAAGUACGUAACCGCAAGGAG
RNAcentral lists this ribosomal RNA (1391 nucleotides) under uncultured bacterium. Its description in RNAcentral is "16S ribosomal RNA". It matches the Rfam family "Bacterial small subunit ribosomal RNA". The record is from RNAcentral.